UACUAUUCCCCCCUCUAACCAGCUUCUGCUAGCCCUUUUCCUAGUGUGCUAGAAGGGCACAAUGUUUAGGGUUUAGUUAGGGUUGAGGAAGGCCGAACCGAACCGAAACGAAGCGAAGGCGUACGGAGGAGGAGCAGCGGUAGAAGGGUUUGGGAUCGGGCGCGGCGGGAAAGGGGGCUUUGGGAUCUAGAGGGAUACCGGAGGCGGCGACGCCGCCGGGGUCAGCACCCGGUCCAGCACCUCGCCAAGGCGCGCGCCGACGCCCUCCUCCGCCCUCUCCUCGGCCCCCGCCGGCGCCACCACCCGCAGAUGUUCCUCCGGGAGCGGCUCGAGUGGAAGUUGACGUUCGGGUAGUAGUGGCUCGAGUGGUAGUAGCGCCCAGUCGUGCGGCGCGAGCGGCGGUCCCCGUAGCGGCUGCGGUAGACGCGGGCGUAGGAACUCCACGGUCAGCUCGUCUUUAACGGUAGAAACAUAGACGAUCUAUCAUAGCACUUCUUGUAUCCUGCUCUUAUACAUCUCCUGAAACGGUGAGCUAACGUCUUCCAUAAAACAAAACGUAUGUCCCUUCAAGUAGGGUUUGUCGUAGGACGUUACGCUGUGGAGAAGGCAUGGACCAGCGUUCACAAGGGAAGAAGACAGGAAGUUCCCUAGCUCCUACUCGAAGUCAAAAGAGGAAGUCUCUUAUUCACAGGACGGUGUUGCUGAUAAGGCGCUGUCAGUCUCAGCAAUAGAGGAUCCGGUAGAGUACCGUAGGUACAUUUAGGUCUCAUAGAUCUUCGCGUUGUGGUUGAGUUCUUGCCAUGGUUCCACCUAGUCGAUCGUUGAGCUCCGUCCGUUUACGAACUGCACCACCUCCUAGUAUAAUUACCCAAUUGUUGUUUAUCAAACGCCCCUAAAGGAAGGUGAAGAAGUUUCGAGGUCUCUAGAUACUAUGACAUAUGACUUUUAGGACUAGUUGUUCUUUGUAAAGUUAGUGCAUAACCUAACUAUUCUUCUCUAUACAGGUCUAGUGGUGGAGGACUACACGAGGGAUCCUUACGUAGGGGUUUUUCUGGUGAUCUCUACGGCGCCGACAGAGUAAGACAUAACCCCGUACUAGGAUCUUCUAACGGACUAUCUUUACCAACCAAACUUGCCGUUGCACGAAAACUCCUAUCACGUGUUGCUGGAAGCUACUCGUGCGAACUACUUCUUAUAUCCUUUGUUUCACGUUCUCUUGAAUAACUACGGAUGCCUUUAAGAGUUCCGUUACUACGACUACUAUCCGAAGGGUUCUACGUUGCCGAUCUUAGUUUACCGUACCGUUCAUCUAGGUCACGUGUUUUUACCGAGUGAAGUCUCCUUCUCCUCAUAUGAACCCUCCUAUACGCAGGUUGAAACAGGGUUUUAGCUUUGUUGUAAGGCAGAAAUGGAAGGAGACUUUGGAACUCUCGACCUAAAGGACCCGGUUUGUGACCCGUCGACCUAAGACUAUAUCCCUACGCGUCGACCGCUUCGGUCCGAGGAGCUGGUCGUGAUUUAGAGCUUCUGUCCUGACCAGUACAACUGUAUCGGUGAUCAUCCUCUAUAGGUCCGUUAAAACCAGAGGUGUUACCUCGAUAAAGUCUCAUGGUAUCAAGACUCUUAUGGGAACUAGGACCUUCUUAAGAACGAUACAGUCGAGGUGGCACCGUCGUCUGAUUACCGGACGGAAACGCUUAUGUUCGUGGAGUUGGAAGUAGUUGUGACUUAUCCAGCCGUGACGGGUGACUACAACUUUACGGACAGUUCUACAACCGGUGACCACCAGGUAUACUACGAUACGUACAUCUGAAUGGGAACUGAUUAUCCAGGAGCGGACGAGGACGAGGGUAUCUUACCGGAGAAGUAGUAGUAUCAGUUGGUGGUGUAUUAUGUUUUCUAUAAUCUCCACGUUGUCUAUCAGAACUUCAAUCCGGUAAAUAGUCCGUACCUCAGUUAAGUAGACAUAAACAAGGAGCCGUAGAUAUACUACGUAACCUAGCCUUUUGACAUUCAUGGCCAUUGAAUCGAGUUGGUGGUAUGGUCGUGGGUCUAAACAACAGUAGCUCAGUUGUUUUAGUUCCAUGUUUAAAACCUUUAGUUAGAGUCGGAGUACUACACGGUGUCAAAGUAGGAGUAAGGGUAAGGGUAGGAGGCCUCUGUAAAUCUUCGAAACGGGGGUCGUACGGAUAUCGAGGGGGGGUUUUAGCUAAGGUUCCUGUUCCUCCAUCACGUCGUCAUGGUGGUCAAUGUGGAGAUGGCUUGUGGAAAAGACAUUGUGGAUGACACGUUGGGAUACCACACAGAAGUCACAGAUCAAAACGAGACGGUGGUAAUGUAGCACCGGAUGGAGGACGAAGCAACGUCUACCCAGGUAGAAGUAGUGUUCAACCACCCGGAUGUUGUAUAAAGAGACCUUAAAAUUCAUUGGAAUACUUAGUACCACAUUAAUGUGACCUCGGAAGAUCAGUUGGAGUCCUGAGACAACCUCAACUGAAGUUACAUCUGGAGUUCCACACCUUACUCAGACAGUAAUUACGAGACAUAGUCCUAGAGGUGUCCGUUACGUUUUGCACACCUGAAGCAAAAUUUACGGUCCUUCUCGUGGCACGAGUAUACCUAACCGUACAAUGCUUUUUGUCUUUAAGGUUUUUAGCGUUCGUUAGAAGUGCAUUUAUAAAACAGUGUCACCCCCUUACCAAAUCUCGUCGUCUUUGUCAUCCUUUACUACCACAAGGAAGAAAGCUCGAGUGCCUUGGUUAGGGACUGUCUUUACUUCUCUUUCUUUACCGACAAGGACGGCUACUUUUGGUUUGUUGUACACGAAAUACAGUUCUCGGUAAACUCCUAAAGAUGUCGCUACUUUGACUUCUCACCUACAUGUUUCCACGUCAAAUGUACUUACGUGGACUACCAUUAUAACAACCAGAGGUUUCCAGCGUAAACCCCGGAUAACAGGUAAGGUUCACAGCUAGACCGGGGUCAUUAUAAAGAAUCCACCCGGAUCGACCUUGGGAACGGGGUAAUAAAGUCAAAGAAACCAACGCCGAUCUGUUCUGUACAUUUUAAUGACCUCUUUAGUCUAAAACACUACCUCGUACUCAUUGAACGAGACGUCAGCGGUGUCAACAGUGGACGACGAAAAUGUAAUUAUAUACCUUAGGAGAAUUAGAUCCUACUGUACGUUUGGGAAGUGCUUGUCCGCUUUGUUUGUACGAGGACGGGAAAAGAACAGGGGAAGGAGAGACGUUAGAGUAUACGUCCUGUUACAGUCGGGUACUCACGACCAUUGAAGGCUGUUUUGGGUCCUGCUUUCUUAUUUCCGUAGGCAGUUGUCGAGAGGAUAUGAUGAAUAUCUACUCGUUCUACAACGACAAUAAAAGAAACCAAACAGAAAGAAACGUGCAGAGACGUAACAUUGUCAAAGCACUGUGAUUUAAGAACCACCGCGUCUAGGGUGGGAUGACCUAACAAACGACAAUUUUUUUUCUUAGGCAAACUCG
RNAcentral lists this ribosomal RNA (3503 nucleotides) under Triticum aestivum (bread wheat). RNAcentral describes it as "partial small subunit ribosomal RNA". The record is from RNAcentral. Lineage: Eukaryota; Viridiplantae; Streptophyta; Magnoliopsida; Poales; Poaceae.